This 336-nucleotide long non-coding RNA is filed under the name Elaeis guineensis (African oil palm). RNAcentral describes it as "long non-coding RNA (EGUI_LNC012571)". Lineage: Eukaryota; Viridiplantae; Streptophyta; Magnoliopsida; Arecales; Arecaceae. The record is from RNAcentral.
GGCCUUUGACUUUGCUCAUGUCAGGACGAGGUUCUCCUUCUGUUCCUGACAUGGCCGUGGGGGCACAUUAGGGCGUUGUAAGGCCUCUCCCCCAAUCCGAUCUCAAGAUAAUCGGACUUUCAUUUUAGUUAUGUUAGGAUGAGGUUCUCCUCCUGUUCUUAACAUAACCUUGUUUUAAUUGUUUGAAGGGGUUAUCCCCAGUCGUAACAAAUCCAUUUCAAAUGGGAGGAGCAUGCAAAGUCGAAAAGAAUUUAGAUUCGGGGCAGAGUCGUAAGCGAUAUAUUUACAGGUUUCUCGAGUUCCAUGGUCGUGGAAGGUCUGCUCCUCCUUGAGGCC